AAAGAGCUCUACAGACUCACAGGUGGCACCCGGCCAAUCAGUGGAAAUCAAGGUGUCUGCAGGGCUGCAGGAAAGAAGCUGUUCCGGGCCUCUCUGGAGGUGCCCAGCACCCCUGGCAUGCAGGCACCUCGCUCCAGCCCCUGCCCGUCCUCACACAGCCCCCAAGCUCAGCAAGAUGAGAAGGCUGGCCCACAGGCCAUAGCGGCCCCCAAGCUGUAACGUCCU
Molecule: long non-coding RNA, 225 nt
Filed under: Homo sapiens (human)
Lineage: Eukaryota; Metazoa; Chordata; Mammalia; Primates; Hominidae
Description: HSALNT0049702
Source: RNAcentral